This 393-nucleotide ribosomal RNA is filed under the name uncultured bacterium. Its description in RNAcentral is "partial 16S ribosomal RNA". It matches the Rfam family "Bacterial small subunit ribosomal RNA", at positions 523 to 918 of the family's 1533-position model. The record is from RNAcentral.
AUACGGAGGAUCCAAGCGUUAUCCGGAUUUAUUGGGUUUAAAGGGAGCGUAGGUGGAUUGUUAAGUCAGUUGUGAAAGUUUGCGGCUCAACCGUAAAAUUGCAGUUGAAACUGGCAGUCUUGAGUACAGUAGAGGUGGGCGGAAUUCGUGGUGUAGCGGUGAAAUGCUUAGAUAUCACGAAGAACUCCGAUUGCGAAGGCAGCUCACUAGACUGUUACUGACACUGAUGCUCGAAAGUGUGGGUAUCAAACAGGAUUAGAUACCCUGGUAGUCCACACAGUAAACGAUGAAUACUCGCUGUUUGCGAUAUACAGUAAGCGGCCAAGCGAAAGCAUUAAGUAUUCCACCUGGGGAGUACGCCGGCAACGGUGAAACUCAAAUGAAUUGACGGGG